RNAcentral lists this ribosomal RNA (119 nucleotides) under Triticum dicoccoides. Lineage: Eukaryota; Viridiplantae; Streptophyta; Magnoliopsida; Poales; Poaceae. The record is from RNAcentral.
GGAUGCCAUCAUACCAGCACUAAAGCAUCGGAUCCCAUCAGAACUCCGAAGUUAAGUGUGCUUUGGCGAGAGUAGUACUAGGAUGGGUGACCUUCUGGGAAGUCCUUGUGUUGCAAUCC